Long non-coding RNA from Mauremys mutica (yellowpond turtle), 1400 nucleotides. RefSeq lists it as uncharacterized. The transcript is spliced from 3 exons. The record is from RefSeq and is a predicted model, not a curated record. NCBI's taxonomy places the organism in Eukaryota, Metazoa, Chordata, Testudines, Geoemydidae.
ACCUCAACUUUCAUUUAACAAUAAAUGUUUCCACCCCCUCCUGCUUGCAAAGAAAAGAGUAAAAAAUGUGAACUGAAUGGAAGUGAUGCAGUGACGUCUGCAGCCACCAGCCAGAGGAGGAGCUACAGCCACUAGAGUAGAGGAAGAAGCCACUUGUUCUUAGAUCCAGUCUAGUUUGCCACUGCUCCAAGGACACCAGGCUGGUCAGAGUGGGCUUGGACGCCCACUGGGAUCUGCAGGUUUGGCUCUCCCUGCAUGCCCACCAGGAUCUUCCUCUGCAGAAUACAAUAUGGCCCAAACGCAUGUCAUCCAGGAAAUAUUGAGCUGGCUGUAGGAGAUGGCCUGGCAAGAGAAGAAUUAGAUUACAAGAAUGAGAAGCAGUAGGAAGCGAAUAGAGUGGUAGAAGCACACCAGUCAUUUUGUAUGGCUUUGGGGACUAUGAGAAGUGCUUUAACUCAAUGGAAAUACAAGCUUUGUGGAAACACUGGAUAAGAAAGGAGCAGAAGCCCCAUAGUUUCUGAAUACCCUAAAACAUCUAGGUGGAUAGCACAAUAAUAUUUAAGCAUGAAAAAUAGAGUGCAAAGAUCAUUUUGAAGUGUGAAAUUAACAGAUUCUUCACCUUCUGCCUGGAGAAAACUUUCAAGGUUUCCGAGAAUAAAGAAAAGGACUCAAGCACCGGAGCCACCUCAGCUUUGCACAUGACACAUCUUUGCUGAAGCUAAAGACCUUGAAGCAAACAGGAGGGAACUCAAGACUGAGGAAUGUGGACGUCAGAUCCUUUUGCAAAUGACCCAAAUCCUAUUCCUCACAAAGACAGAAGGAAAAAAAGAUCACAGUGGGUAGGAAACAGUUGGAAGCUGUAAAGGAAUAUGUCUGUAUAGUCCGCAAGAUAGAUAAUAUUCCAAACCAGGAAAAUGUGAGGAGAAGAAUCAAACCAAGAUAUGUGGAGUUUUUAGGAAACUGACAGGCUAAUAAAGACAGGGUCAGAUAAGGGUCUGUGCAAGUCCAGAGUAAUAUUAUUUUAAAAAGAGAACAAACAAGCUCUGUCUAAAACAAAUAAAAUAAAAGAUAGAUUGAUGUGUGUACUGUCACCUUUGGCAGAUAGAGAGCAUAGUCAUAGUAGAAACUAGUGGGAUGACUGGGCAGUAACAAAAGGCAGGAACAGUCAAUAGGGUCUGUUCAGUAGGGAAGAAUCUUUGUAUUGUAAUAACAGCCAAACAAAGAAACACAGGCAAAAAAAGAGUAACAAGAGAUAUAAAAAAUUUAAAAAAAUCUCCAUCAAGAGAAAAUUAAUUGUGAUUAACCGUGAUGUUAAACAAUAAGAGAAUACUAUUUAUUUAAAUAUUUGUGGAUGUUUUCUACAUUUUAAAAUAUAUUGAUUUCAGUUACAACACGGAAUA